UACAGGGGGUGCGAGCGUUAAUCGGAGUUACUGGGCGUAAAGGGCGCGUAGGCGGUGUGAUGUGUGUGGUGUGAAAGCCCCGGGCUUAACCUGGGAAGUGCAUCGCAAACUAUCGUACUGGAGUACAUGAGAGGGUGGCGGAAUUUCCGGUGUAGCGGUGAAAUGCGUAGAGAUCGGAAGGAACGUCAAUGGCGAAGGCAGCCACCUGGCAUGAUACUGACGCUGAGGCGCGAAAGCGUGGGGAGCGAACAGG
This 253-nucleotide ribosomal RNA is filed under the name uncultured bacterium. Its description in RNAcentral is "partial 16S ribosomal RNA". It matches the Rfam family "Bacterial small subunit ribosomal RNA", at positions 524 to 776 of the family's 1533-position model. The record is from RNAcentral.